Molecule: transfer RNA, 84 nt
Filed under: Candidatus Diapherotrites archaeon CG11_big_fil_rev_8_21_14_0_20_37_9
Lineage: Archaea; Nanobdellati; Candidatus Iainarchaeota
Description: tRNA-Leu
Rfam family: tRNA
About the family: Transfer RNA (tRNA) molecules are approximately 80 nucleotides in length. Their secondary structure includes four short double-helical elements and three loops (D, anti-codon, and T loops). Further hydrogen bonds mediate the characteristic L-shaped molecular structure. tRNAs have two regions of fundamental functional importance: the anti-codon, which is responsible for specific mRNA codon recognition, and the 3' end, to which the tRNAs corresponding amino acid is attached (by aminoacyl-tRNA synthetases). tRNAs cope with the degeneracy of the genetic code in two manners: having more than one tRNA (with a specific anti-codon) for a particular amino acid; and 'wobble' base-pairing, i.e. permitting non-standard base-pairing at the 3rd anti-codon position.
Source: RNAcentral
GCGGGAGUCCGAUAGCGGUCAAUUCGGCUAGGUUUAGGCCCUAGUGACUUAGUGUCUUCGCAGGUUCGAAUCCUGCCCCCCGCA